RNAcentral lists this ribosomal RNA (254 nucleotides) under uncultured bacterium. RNAcentral describes it as "partial 16S ribosomal RNA". It matches the Rfam family "Bacterial small subunit ribosomal RNA", at positions 524 to 777 of the family's 1533-position model. The record is from RNAcentral.
UACGGAGGGGGCUAGCGUUGUUCGGAAUUACUGGGCGUAAAGCGCACGCAGGCGGCUUUGUAAGUUAGAGGUGAAAGCCCGGGGCUCAACUCCGGAAUUGCCUUUAAGACUGCAUCGCUAGAAUUGUGGAGAGGUAAGUGGAAUUCCGAGUGUAGAGGUGAAAUUCGUAGAUAUUCGGAAGAACACCAGUGGCGAAGGCGACUUACUGGACACAUAUUGACGCUGAGGUGCGAAAGCGUGGGGAGCAAACAGGG